This is a long non-coding RNA of Leopardus geoffroyi (Geoffroy's cat), 328 nucleotides long. RefSeq lists it as uncharacterized. Lineage: Eukaryota; Metazoa; Chordata; Mammalia; Carnivora; Felidae. The record is from RefSeq and is a predicted model, not a curated record. The transcript has 2 exons.
GACGCUGCAGGACCCUCGGUCUUUCUUUCACUCCUAUCUCUAUGGUUAGCAAGUGACCACUCUACACUCUGGAGGACUCAGCGAGCGCAGAUGAGCCCUAGGCGACCUUAUUGGCACGUGACCGGAAGUCUGACUUGCUAUUGGUUAAUGCUGGUAAAGCCCGCCCAACAGCCUCCUGUCAGCUCCUUUAAGUAGACUCCGCGGGGAAGCGCUCAGUCUUUCGGCGACUGUGAGGUUCGAGAGAUUCCUGCCGGGCCGAGAACGUAGAUCACCUUCUACUCCCCUUCGACCUUUCCCCGAAGCCUUUGAAUAAAAUGGUUUGAUCCCA